UCGCAGUCCGUUGACAGCUCCUGACAGCCAGAACAGGCCAAGUCCAAACCCAGUGGUCAACAGUUUGGCGGACGACAACGGGCGCCUCACACUGCCCACUUUGAAUGCCACUGAGAACAAAACUGCAAGGCCAGUUCCAGCAAUCCCAGCAGAGAACUGGAUAAGGAGAUCAUUUAUCUCGGGGGCUGAUUUUGUCAGAGAAAGCAUCGACACCCCACCCCGACGCUUCACUAGGACGGCAGAGAGAAGGCAUUCACAAGCAUGGAAAUAGUUUUUCCUGUAGAGGUCCCGUUCUUUUCCUCCUUUCCG
This 309-nucleotide unclassified non-coding RNA is filed under the name Hevea brasiliensis (rubber tree). The record is from RNAcentral. Lineage: Eukaryota; Viridiplantae; Streptophyta; Magnoliopsida; Malpighiales; Euphorbiaceae.